GAUUUAUUUAGAAGAGGGGAGAGAACAGGCUCUGAGAACCUCUGGCAACCUUCCUCCGGCGGAAAGGUGCCAAUACCUGCCCGAGAGGGAACGAUAAAUU
RNAcentral lists this non-coding RNA (100 nucleotides) under Lunatimonas lonarensis. RNAcentral describes it as "SAM-I sequence". It matches the Rfam family "SAM riboswitch aptamer (S box leader)". Rfam says of the family: The SAM riboswitch is found upstream of a number of genes which code for proteins involved in methionine or cysteine biosynthesis in Gram-positive bacteria. The SAM riboswitch acts at the level of transcription termination control. The predicted structure consists of a complex stem-loop region followed by a single stem loop terminator region. Lineage: Bacteria; Pseudomonadati; Bacteroidota; Cytophagia; Cytophagales; Cyclobacteriaceae. The record is from Rfam by way of RNAcentral.